RNAcentral lists this long non-coding RNA (355 nucleotides) under Vitis vinifera (wine grape). Its description in RNAcentral is "long non-coding RNA (VVIN_LNC002514)". The record is from RNAcentral. Lineage: Eukaryota; Viridiplantae; Streptophyta; Magnoliopsida; Vitales; Vitaceae.
AUCAAGAUUCAGUAAUCCCACUAUUUGGAACUCGGACUCUGGUGGAUGGAUUGGCGAAGAAGUUGAGACUGAAUACAACUGUGCCUUACAGAAAUUGGUUUGAGGGAGAACAGGUCGGCUUCUAUACAUGAAUAUGAGAUUAACUUCAUAAAUCACUUCAAGUUUCAACUGCUUAAUUAAAGAUCGGAUGAUUUAAAUCUCAUUCAUGAUGGUUUUUCUUCUGUUUUUCUAGGUUGGUGGAUGGACGCAAGUUUAUGGUGACAUCCUAUCCUUUGCCACCGUGAGAGGAGGGUCACAUACAGUGCCGGGUACACAACCAGCCAGAGCACUAGUUCUGUUCACUGCAUUUCUAAAA